RNAcentral lists this ribosomal RNA (386 nucleotides) under uncultured bacterium. RNAcentral's name for it is "bacterial SSU rRNA". It matches the Rfam family "Bacterial small subunit ribosomal RNA", at positions 29 to 417 of the family's 1533-position model. The record is from RNAcentral.
AUUGAACGCUGGCGGAAUGCUUUACACAUGCAAGUCGAGCGGCAGCGCGGGGGCAACCCUGGCGGCGAGCGGCGAACGGGUGAGUAACAUAUCGGAACGUACCCCGUCGUGGGGAUAACACAGCGAAAGCUGUGCUAAUACCGCAUACGACCUGAGGGUGAAAGCGGGGGAUCGCAAGACCUCGCGCGAUGGGAGCGGCCGAUAUCGGAUUAGCUUGUUGGUGAGGUAAAGGCUCACCAAGGCGACGAUCCGUAGCUGGUCUGAGAGGACGACCAGCCACACUGGAACUGAGACACGGUCCAGACUCCUACGGGAGGCAGCAGUGGGGAAUUUUGGACAAUGGGGGCAACCCUGAUCCAACCAUUCCGCGUGAGUGAAGAAGGCCU